RNAcentral lists this ribosomal RNA (406 nucleotides) under uncultured bacterium. RNAcentral describes it as "partial 16S ribosomal RNA". It matches the Rfam family "Bacterial small subunit ribosomal RNA", at positions 30 to 526 of the family's 1533-position model. The record is from RNAcentral.
AUUGAACGCUGGCGGCAGGCUUAACACAUGCAAGUCGAACGAGCGGCGGACGGGUGAGUACUGUCUGGGAAACUGCCUGAUGGAGGGGGAUAACUACUGGAAACGGUAGCUAAUACCGCAUACCAUCAGAUGUGCCCAGAUGGGAUUAGCUAGUGGGUGGGGUAAUGGCUCACCUAGGCGACGCUCCCUAGCUGGUCUGAGAGGAUGACCAGCCACACUGGAACUGAGACACGGUCCAGACGCCUACGGGAGGCAGCAGUGGGGAAUAUGGCACAAUGGGCGCAAGCCUGAUGCCGCCAUGCCUCGUGUGUGAAGAAGGCCUUCGGGUUGUAAAGUACUUUCAGCGAGGAGGCGUUACUCGCAGAAGAAGCACCGGCUAACUCCGUGCCAGCAGCCGCGGUAAUUC